This 253-nucleotide ribosomal RNA is filed under the name uncultured bacterium. Its description in RNAcentral is "partial 16S ribosomal RNA". It matches the Rfam family "Bacterial small subunit ribosomal RNA", at positions 524 to 776 of the family's 1533-position model. The record is from RNAcentral.
CACGUAGGGCGCAAGCGUUGUCCGGAAUUAUUGGGCGUAAAGAGCUCGUAGGCGGUCUGUUGCGUCUGCUGUGAAAACCCGGGGCUUAACCCCUGGCUUGCAGUGGAUACGGACAGACUAGAGGUAGGUAGGGGAGAAUGGAAUUCCCGGUGUAGCGGUGAAAUGCGCAGAUAUCAGGAGGAACACCGGUGGCGAAGGCGGGUCUCUGGGCCGAUACUGACGCUGAGGAGCGAAAGCGUGGGGAGCGAACAGG